CAACUAAAAUCAUAUUUUCUCUGGUUCUUUCAACUUUUGCAACAGUUCCUUGAACUACUUUUCCUACUUUCCUAACUUUCCCUUCCUCUGGUUCUUUCAACUUUUGUAGCAGUUUUUUGAACUACUUUUCCUUCUUUCAUUUUUUUCGAAUAUAAGUUUGAUUUGUGAAGUAGCAGUGGAAGAGGACUUGGCCUUCUUCUUCAAAGAUACAUUUUUUUUUAACUUUGUUCCUUCAAGGUUGUGCUUGAAGCUCAAAAUUUUAGAACUUCGGGCAUUGAUCCUGAAUUUGAAGGGAAGUUGGACCAGAUGCUCAUAGGGAUGGCUACCACUGGUGAUAAAGCAUGAGCACCUUCUUUAGGUGAUGAGUAUGGUUGGCAAUUCUAGUGGUGAUGGAAGUGAUGAUGAAAGGGAAAAGAAUGAGAUUUUACAACACAUGGAAAGUUUUAAUCGAUUAUUUCAUGUUGUAUAUUCUUCUGUGUAAUUAUAUUAUGAGAAGUAUAUUGAAGCAACCAUGUAUGGAUUCAAAAUAGUCAGGCGAGACAUGAAACUAAGAGAUCCUUAACGGUCAUGAAUCAUGUUGCCUGAUUAAUUUUAAGAUAUAAAAAAUUGUAUUCACAAGUCUGUUGAGAGUUUUGGAGACAAGAUACAA
Gossypium arboreum is the source of this 649-nucleotide long non-coding RNA. RefSeq lists it as uncharacterized. The transcript is spliced from 3 exons. The record is from RefSeq and is a predicted model, not a curated record. Lineage: Eukaryota; Viridiplantae; Streptophyta; Magnoliopsida; Malvales; Malvaceae.